UAUCAGGAGGAACACCGAUGGCGAAGGCAGGUCUCUGGGCAUUAACUGACGCUGAGGAGCGAAAGCAUGGGGAGCGAACAGGAUUAGAUACCCUGGUAGUCCAUGCCGUAAACGUUGGGCACUAGGUGUGGGGGACAUUCCACGUUUUCCGCGCCGUAGCUAACGCAUUAAGUGCCCCGCCUGGGGAGUACGGCCGCAAGGCUAAAACUCAAAGGAAUUGACGGGGGCCCGCACAAGCGGCGGAGCAUGCGGAUUAAUUCGAUGCAACGCGAAGAACCUUACCAAGGCUUGACAUGAACCGGAAAUACCUGGAAACAGGUGCCCCGCUUGCGGUCGGUUUACAGGUGGUGCAUGGUUGUCGUCAGCUCGUGUCGUGAGAUGUUGGGUUAAGUCCCGCAACGAGCGCAACCCUCGUUCUAUGUUGCCAGCGCGUUAUGGCGGGGACUCAUAGGAGACUGCCGGGGUCAACUCGGAGGAAGGUGGGGACGACGUCAAAUCAUCAUGCCCCUUAUGUCUUGGGCUUCACGCAUGCUACAAUGGCCGGUACAAAGGGUUGCGAUACUGUGAGGUGGAGCUAAUCCCAAAAAGCCGGUCUCAGUUCGGAUUGGGGUCUGCAACUCGACCCCAUGAAGUCGGAGUCGCUAGUAAUCGCAGAUCAGCAACGCUGCGGUGAAUACGUUCCCGGGCCUUGUACACACCGCCCGUCAAGUCACGAAAGUUGGUAACACCCGAAGCCGGUGGCCUAACCCCUUGUGGGAGGGAGCUGUCGAAGGUGGGACUGGCGAUUGGGACUAAGUCGA
This 800-nucleotide ribosomal RNA is filed under the name Pseudarthrobacter siccitolerans. RNAcentral describes it as "bacterial SSU rRNA". It matches the Rfam family "Bacterial small subunit ribosomal RNA", at positions 695 to 1489 of the family's 1533-position model. Lineage: Bacteria; Bacillati; Actinomycetota; Actinomycetes; Micrococcales; Micrococcaceae. The record is from RNAcentral.